RNAcentral lists this ribosomal RNA (618 nucleotides) under Triticum aestivum (bread wheat). Its description in RNAcentral is "partial small subunit ribosomal RNA". Lineage: Eukaryota; Viridiplantae; Streptophyta; Magnoliopsida; Poales; Poaceae. The record is from RNAcentral.
AUGGACCUUGAUGGGGGAUGGCAAGUACACUGUAAGUCCUGUUAUAGACAUCUGGUCCAGAGUGGGUUCAAAUAUCCUUAUAAAUUUCUAUGGAAAAUGAAAAUGCCACCUAGAAUUAAAGUCUUCCUAUGGCUGCUGCUAAGGAAUAGUAUUCUUACUAAAAACAACCUAAAGAAAAGAAGGUGGCAAGGUGAUAGUAGUUGUUCCUUUUGUGGGAGAGAAGAGGACAUAGAUCAUCUCUUUAUACAUUGCUAUGUGGCGAAAAUGCUAUGGAUGGUCAUGAAAUGUUCGCUUGGAAUGCAAGAUAUUCCUGACAAUGUGAAUGAUAUUUUUGGGGGGUGGAUUUAUAAAUUUGAAAAAAAUGACAAGAGUCUUAUGAUGGUUGGUGUUUCUGCAAUGUUAUGGACUAUGUGGAAACUUAGAAAUAGAUUGGUUUUUAAUAAUCAUAGGGUGGUUGACCCCUGUGUUCCUUUACAUGACUGGUGUGUGUUGCAGAAAAACCAAGGAAGAAUAAAGCACAUGAAGGAGGGUGUAAGGCAGUUUGAACAGGUGGCAACGAAGAUCUUCAAAGCUAUGGAUGGAUGGGCGAUGGGAGUCCCUAAGCUAAAAUGCUCCUGA